AACGAACGCUGGCGGCAGGCCUAACACAUGCAAGUCGAGCGGACCUUUCGGGGUCAGCGGCGGACGGGUGAGUAACGCGUGGGGAUAUGCCCUUCUCUACGGAAUAGUCCUGGGAAACUGGGGGUAAUACCGUAUACGCCCUUUGGGGGAAAGAUUUAUCGGGGAAGGAUUAGCCCGCGUUGGAUUAGGUAGUUGGUGGGGUAAUGGCCUACCAAGCCGACGAUCCAUAGCUGGUUUGAGAGGAUGAUCAGCCACACUGGGACUGAGACACGGCCCAGACUCCUACGGGAGGCAGCAGUGGGGAAUCUUAGACAAUGGGGGCAACCCUGAUCUAGCCAUGCCGCGUGAGUGAUGAAGGCCUUAGGGUUGUAAAGCUCUUUCAGCUGGGAAGAUAAUGACGGUACCAGCAGAAGAAGCCCCGGCUAACUCCGUG
RNAcentral lists this ribosomal RNA (433 nucleotides) under uncultured bacterium. Its description in RNAcentral is "partial 16S ribosomal RNA". It matches the Rfam family "Bacterial small subunit ribosomal RNA", at positions 29 to 507 of the family's 1533-position model. The record is from RNAcentral.